This 1781-nucleotide long non-coding RNA is filed under the name Sphaeramia orbicularis (orbiculate cardinalfish). Its description in RNAcentral is "lncRNA (ENSSORG00005010269.1)". Lineage: Eukaryota; Metazoa; Chordata; Actinopteri; Kurtiformes; Apogonidae. The record is from RNAcentral.
GUUCAUCUCCCGCUUCUUGUAACACUGACAUGUUACAAUGGAUAGACGCAAAUGGGAGAUUAUACUCACACAUUUUCAGGCAUGUGUACGCGGAUACUUGGUGAGAAAUGAAAUUCGUCGUGCGAGAGAGGAUUUUGAAGACAUCGUGAGAGAAAUUGAUGGAGGUUUAGAUCAUCUGAAGUGGGUGAAGAUAUCAGCCCUCUCUAUCCCCCACUUCACAGACACUGAUGGUUCUGUUCAACCCAACACCUCUGCUCUAAAAUGUCCAAAUCCAAGAACCGACAUUGGUGUCGGUUCCCAGAGUCCACCAGCAGCUGAGGAGGAGAGAGGAGGAGAGGACAGUCUUCUUCCAGAGAAGAUGGAAGCAGAGAGGGAUGUUUCACAAACCAAAAGGCAGGCUUCCCUCCCUGCAGACUGUUUUCCCAGCAGCUCCACUGAUGGGGAUGGAGAGAAGCAGAAACAGAGAGGAGCGGAAGAUAAAGAUGGAGGGAGCAUGGAGAACAUGGGUUACACCACUCCUGUCUGGAGCAGUGUGGACAUGGACACGGACUGUAGUCAACAGUAUCCCCGGCAGUACUGCUUGGCUCAGGAGGUGCCCCAUACCCCUGAGGCUCUGCGUCUCCAUAGAAACACCCUGACCAUGGAGCUCCUCUGGCUCCAACAGGCCAUUGACAGCAGGAAAAAGUACUUGUCACUGAAGGAAAGACUGAGUGUGUCCUGACAGCUGAAGAAGCAACAAUGGAAAGCCUGCCUGAAGAUGCUUUUCUAAGUCAAUAUGAGAUAAAAAAAAAAAUGCUCCUAGACUGUAUUUAUUAUCACUUUUGACAGAAUAUAAAACAGGGUCUCUGUGUGCAGGAUGUAUGGAUUGUAAAAUUGUGGCUAGAAGUCGACUGCAAUGUUAUUUUGUAUUUGUUGUUAUUUAUUCCCCUGUUUGUGUGCUGGGGAAAUCUCAACAGUUUUUUUUAUUUUUUCAGCUGUUCAUCACACACAAAGGGUUUUCUAUUUUCACCAGUCAAAUCACCUGUUACUUGCUGAUAACUGAUGUGAGUCAUUAAGGCCUACAUAUCUGUCCAUCUGUAAUUAAUGUCUUAAUUUUUCCAAAGUCUUAAAGAUGUAAAGAAAUGGGAAGUGGGAUUGUCUUUUUUUUUUUUUUUUUUUUUUAAUUUACUAAAUGUAAAUGAUCAGGAUACUAGAAUCAAAUAAGUUUUAUGUUACAGUGAAAUCUGAUCAAAUUAAUUUUGUUCUUUCUUAUUUUAGUUAUUUUAACCCUUACAGAUCUAACCACCCUUAGCAACCAAACACUGAUCUAAAAUAUGUAAUAACCUUUGAACCACUAAUCCUAUCAAUACAUGUAAAUAAUUCAGGUAAAAUGCAGUUUAUCAGCUUUACACUGGCAGCAAAUUAGACCCCUUUGGAUGUUCAGAGGCUCCAUAAUUAAUGUGGAAACACUGCAACAUUGAUUCAGCAGUAAAACUCAAGUAGACGCUUGUUUUUAUGAUUGAUUUACUUUGUUGAAAACGUCACUUUCGCUUCAGUUUCCUCUGUUUUGAUAUGAUAACCUUAAAUUUACAGUAGAUAAAAUGCUAAAUCACUUAGGAUAGGUUAAGUGCUGUUACUACAGAAACAGAACUAGGUCUUUAAGAGUUAAAGAUUGUCAUAAAUUUCAUUCCUAGUCAUGCACAAAGUCCUAAUCUAUUUUGUUCUCAGCAGCUGGAAUCAUAUUUGUACACUGUAUGUUAUUUAUUUUAUUUUAUGGAAAGAAGAAAUAAACUUUAUUUUUC